This 244-nucleotide unclassified non-coding RNA is filed under the name plant metagenome. RNAcentral describes it as "partial contains small subunit ribosomal RNA and internal transcribed spacer 1". The stretch from base 1 to 46 matches the Rfam family "Eukaryotic small subunit ribosomal RNA", at positions 1786 to 1831 of the family's 1831-position model. The record is from RNAcentral.
AAGUCGUAACAAGGUUUCCGUAGGUGAACCUGCGGAAGGAUCAUUAAUGAAAUCUAGUGGAGAGCGCUGUAGCUGGCCUUUCGGGGCAUGUGCACGCCUCUUAACAAAUCCAAUCACACCUGUGCACCUUCGCGUGGGCUUUCGGUCUGGUAAUCAUAAACCUAGCCGGCCCACGUUCUCUUCACACACCCUUUGUAUGUCUCAUGAAUGUCUAGUGAUGUUGUUAUAAACGCAUCUAAUACAA